RNAcentral lists this transfer RNA (73 nucleotides) under Janus sp. 1 GYN-2022e. RNAcentral's name for it is "tRNA-His". Lineage: Eukaryota; Metazoa; Arthropoda; Insecta; Hymenoptera; Cephidae. The record is from RNAcentral.
AUUUAGGUAGUUUAUAUUAAAAACGAUGAUUUGUGGAGUCAUAAAAAUAAAGUUAUUUAAUUUAUUCUAAAUU